Molecule: ribosomal RNA, 466 nt
Filed under: uncultured bacterium
Lineage: Bacteria
Description: partial 16S ribosomal RNA
Rfam family: Bacterial small subunit ribosomal RNA
Source: RNAcentral
GAUGAACGCUGGCGGCGUGCUUAACACAUGCAAGUCGAACGGAAAGGCCACAGCUUGCUGUGGUACUCGAGUGGCGAACGGGUGAGUAACACGUGGGCGAUCUGCCCUGUACUUCGGGAUAAGCUUGGGAAACUGGGUCUAAUACCGGAUAGGAAUCACAUGUGGGUGUGUGGUUGGAAAGCUUUUGCGGUAUGGGAUGAGCUCGCGGCCUAUCAGCUUGUUGGUGGGGUAAUGGCCUACCAAGGCGUCGACGGGUAGCCGGCCUGAGAGGGUGUACGGCCACAUUGGGACUGAGAUACGGCCCAGACUCCUACGGGAGGCAGCAGUGGGGAAUAUUGCACAAUGGGCGCAAGCCUGAUGCAGCGACGCCGCGUGGGGGAUGACGGCCUUCGGGUUGUAAACUCCUUUCGUCAGGGACGAAGCGAAAGUGACGGUACCUGGAUAAGAAGCACCGGCUAACUACGUG